Drosophila melanogaster (fruit fly) is the source of this 492-nucleotide non-coding RNA. Lineage: Eukaryota; Metazoa; Arthropoda; Insecta; Diptera; Drosophilidae. The record is from Ensembl.
GAACAUUUUGAUAUUGGUAUCUUUAAAGCGAGUGCUGCUGAUUGCGUGAGAAGAUUCGUAAGGUAACUGAUGAUGUUUGGGAACAGACAUCCCAACUUAUAUAGAACCUCGAGCCAACGCUCCAAACCCAACCGCUGACCUUCAGUACGCCCCUGCAUGACCCGACUUUGAUCAGUUGGAGAUUCGAAAACCAAAAUCGAGUCAAAGCAAGCUCAUUAUGAUUUCUCGUUGCUGCAGCUGCCGAAAGCCAAAAGCUCAGAUCGUUGGAGCCCGAAGUAUCUGAAGUAUCUGUUGCCUUAUCAAAAGCCCCUCAAGGUGGACAACUUCGGCUGCCGAAGUCUCUGGCUGUUUGAGCCCUUAGCCUGCGCUGUUUAGUCGCUAUAUAAGCCUCAUCUGCACGUUCCACCAGCAUCAGUCAUCUCUCUGAGUUUAUCCCAAAAACAACCAACCAACCAACCAAACCUAAUUCAAGAUGUUCAAAUUUGUAAGUCC